AUUCCAGCUCCAAUAGCGUAUAUUAAAGUUGUUGCAGUUAAAAAGCUCGUAGUUGAACUUCUUGGCAUCCUUUAAGCUGGCUUCGGUCGUUUCAAGGGUGUCAAUCCGCCAGGGAACUACAUUCGCACUUCACUGUGCGGUGUAAGGAACUGGCAUUUUACUUAGAAAAAAUUAGAGUGUUCAAGGCAGGCUAUCGCCCUGAAUACACAAGCUUGGAAUAAUGAAAUAGGACUAUUUCCAUUUUAUUGGUUAUUGGAUUUAGUAAUGAUUAAUAGGGACAGUUGGGGGCAUUUGUAUUUAAUAGUCAGAGGUGAAAUUCUUGGAUUUAUUAAAGACAAACUUAUGCGAAAGCAUUUGCCAAGGAUGUUUUCAUUG
The sequence is a ribosomal RNA, 375 nucleotides long. It matches the Rfam family "Eukaryotic small subunit ribosomal RNA", at positions 582 to 975 of the family's 1831-position model.